Molecule: long non-coding RNA, 220 nt
Filed under: Elaeis guineensis (African oil palm)
Lineage: Eukaryota; Viridiplantae; Streptophyta; Magnoliopsida; Arecales; Arecaceae
Description: long non-coding RNA (EGUI_LNC008263)
Source: RNAcentral
UAGCACAGUAGGAGAAAAUGGGGAUCGAAGGUAGGGUAAAAAAGGGGGCAAUAGAGGAAGAAGGGGGAGGCAGCGGGGGUCUGAUCCGAUAAGGGGAGGAGCGAAAAGGGAAAGGAAGGCCGAGCGACAGGAUGCCGACUUCAGAAAGCCAUCAGGAAGAAGGGGGGAGCUCGAAGAUGUAGGCUCUGAGAAGAAAAUGAGAGGUCGGAUGGUGCGAGGU